GGGUCAACGGCUGACAAAUUGUGCGCCUCGACAUGGCCAUGCCUUUGCAGAUUUCCCCUCCGUGAAGAAUUCGCGAACAUCCUAGACCACCGAGAUCCGGUUCCUCUGGCGGUUCUCUCGUGGAAUUGUGCGACAAGCGUUGAGCCGGCUGACUCAAACGUUGGGUCCGGAUGCGGGCAGCGAGUUGGCGGCGUUAGCUAGGUGUGGGAAGAGGGCGGCGGGCGGCGACGCCGCGAGGCGUCUCCGACGAGGUCCGAACAGUUGACAGAGGGUGAAUCCGGAGGCGCCAGGAUGAACAAUAAGUUGCGGUUGCGUCUAGGGAGCGUGCUGCCAGACAGAACCCAUUUCCUUCAAGAAUGAGUGCCCUUGAGUAGUCAAUUCACAAAUUGGCUUUGGGAUAAGAUAUGGAAAAAGCAGAUUGAACGCAGAGAGGACCAAAUCAAUGCAGGAGAUUGUCUGCAUCUGCUCGGUAAAUUCUUAAAGCCGCUUGUUCAAGUAUAUGAACUCAAAAAGAAUAGUUGAAUGUGUCACUAACAAAGCGUUUCUACUUUUUUUGGAAAACAAGGAAGCCAGAGGCUGAGAAUAGCAGGUUGUGUAGAUGCGAGUGACCUGCUUUGAGGAUGUACAUUUCUGAAAACCGUGUUUUGCUGUCACAGUUCAUGGAUGUACUUCACUUAGAGGAGAUUCCUGUUAAGCAUAUUGUCAAGCGAUGGACCAAGGACGUGAAGAACAUUCAGUUAACUUGUCUUUCACGUGCAGACAUUCGACGCUAUAUAUGAAAGCUAUGGAUGUCAUGAUGAUGGGGGAUGCGAGUGCAGAGUCAUUCGAGCACAUGUUAGCUAGUCUGAAUGAUUGUUGGUUACUAGUGCACCGUUAGCAGAGAAGAGAGAUUGUUUGGCUUUUGAGGACCGAUUGGCAAAGGUCUUGCAGUCCCGGAUAAGCAGAGGGGUUGGAAGGCCGACAGAUACUGGAGAAGGCACCUUACGAGGGUCUGAGCAAAUGGACAAAGUUCUGCAGCUUCUGCCGGCGCGAGGGACACAAGUGAACAACCUGCCCUGGGAUGCACCGAAGAAGCCGUGCAAACCCUGGAAAAUGCAAGAACUAUGGUAUGGUAGGCCAUCACUGGAACAUAUGUACCAGGCCACUGGGAAUUGCUGAAAAAAUGGGAUGUGAUAUUUAAGUUUGUACUCUGUUCUUAGUUGCUGAAGAUUUUCUAGUGUGUUCUAGU
Long non-coding RNA from Triticum aestivum (bread wheat), 1228 nucleotides. RefSeq lists it as uncharacterized. The record is from RefSeq and is a predicted model, not a curated record. NCBI's taxonomy places the organism in Eukaryota, Viridiplantae, Streptophyta, Magnoliopsida, Poales, Poaceae. The transcript is spliced from 3 exons.